Long non-coding RNA from Solea solea (common sole), 301 nucleotides. RefSeq lists it as uncharacterized. NCBI's taxonomy places the organism in Eukaryota, Metazoa, Chordata, Actinopteri, Pleuronectiformes, Soleidae. The transcript is spliced from 3 exons. The record is from RefSeq and is a predicted model, not a curated record.
ACUUCCGCUUCCUUUCUCCCCUGGUGGCUGGAGCCUGAACGCCGUGUGGCUGGCGUGCUCUGCCCGUGUGUUUGCGGCAUCCACCGCGCGCGCUCAUUGACGUCGCACAGUGGCUAAUCACUGAUCAGUGGUGCGGUGGUGGCCGGGCGGCGCUGCUGGAGGUUCUCCUGGAUGCGCUCUCGUCUCCGGAAGGUGCUGUGGGUGCAAGGAGCAGUCGGCUUUCCUGGUGGUGGUAUUUCCUUCACAAUCCCGUUUUUGGAUGGUGUGCAGUGUCAUGUGUGGUCUAGUUGUGGACCACCCC